GUUUGGACCCAAAUUUACACCAUCGGCCCGUGUAAUCAAGGCCGUUGAAUGAGCAAAGUUUCACACCGUCAGAUGAAAAGUAGAGAUAAUUCAUUUUAUUAUUAUUAAAGGAUAAUGUUAUGGUGUUUUAUCAUAAUUAUCUUUUAAUAGUAAUUUAUUAUGAAAGAUAAGAGAUAUAUUUCCAACUGGAAACAUGGCAGCACAAGUCAAUCUGACUUGGGUGUUCUGGCGCGCGAAUGUGUGGUGUGUGGUGCAAAUUGAUUAUUGUUUAUUUAAAAUAUGGUGGGGAUCAGGUUGCAUAGAUUAUGAAGAAGCCUAAAUAGGAUAGGAUUAGAUUGGAUUUU
This 344-nucleotide long non-coding RNA is filed under the name Malus domestica (apple). Its description in RNAcentral is "long non-coding RNA (MDOM_LNC016660)". The record is from RNAcentral. Lineage: Eukaryota; Viridiplantae; Streptophyta; Magnoliopsida; Rosales; Rosaceae.